AUAUUAUUCCUUCCUCACAAUCAUUAGAGAUUUGUUUGAAUGCAGGUAUCACCACAUCCCUUUCCGCAGUUGAUAUUUGGCAACUGAUGAGAGAUGGUAUGGCCGUGAGUGACGUACAGAUGUCUCGUCUGCUGAAACUUGCGCACAAAUUUAAUUGCUUUUAUUUAACAGGUUUGCAUAAAGGAGACUGUCGUCCCUUUAUUGUUGAGGGACAUCAGGUGGGUCUGGUCAGGCCUGAUGUUAUGCAGCAUCUUCAUCACUAUCCUGAUGUAUUUCAUAUUCAGCCCGAUGCCGUCGAACUGAAUCCUGCCUUCAGAGAUUAUGGGGAACGGAGUGACAGAGUGGAAGCAGUACUGAAAGACUGUCGUGCAAACAAUAUAUUUAUCGCACUUAAAGGUUGGCGUGAAGAGUGUUAUGAAGUUUGUGCUGCAUAUGCAUCCAAAGCGCUUCUUAAGAUGGACCGUUCAGCCACUUGUUUAUUUGGAAUUCGUAACUAUGGUGUUGACAUUAAUGGGUAUGUGAGGCAUCCAGAGAAGGGACUGUGCCUUUGGUUGCAGCAGCGCUCAGCAACAAAGCAAACAUGGCCUGGAAAGUGGGAUAAUAUGGUAGGUGGUGGCCUUUCUGUGGGUUAUACUAUAAUGGAAACUGCCAUAAAGGAAGCAGCAGAAGAAGCUUCAAUACCCCUGGAACUGAUGAAGAAUCUGAGGCCUGCUGGAUCUGUUUCGUUUUUCUUUGAAAGUGAAAGAGGGCUUUUUCCAAACACAGAAUUUGUCUUUGACCUGGAAUUGCCUUUGGAUUUCAUUCCUUUCAAUAGUGAUGGUGAAGUGCAAUGCUUUCAGCUACUCCCUGCAAUGGAUGUCCUUGAAAAAGUUUUCUCUCCAGACUUCAAAACAACAAGUUGCCCAGUAAUAGUUGAUUUUCUUAUUCGACAUGGCCUGGUUUCAAUUGAAAAUGAGUGUGAAGAAGCAACUGCAAGACUAUAAUGGAAUACAAUAGCUGUGUCAUGGACUGCCAGAAAAAGGGGGUACAGUAGGAUAUUAAAAAAAAUAGAGCCAAACUUGCCUCAAGUUGUGGAACUGCUUCAUGUGCCACUUCAGACCAUCUACAGAUCAUGCCAGUACCAGCCUCCAGCUACAAAUGGUCAAGACAUUUC
Molecule: unclassified non-coding RNA, 1153 nt
Filed under: Schistocerca americana (American grasshopper)
Lineage: Eukaryota; Metazoa; Arthropoda; Insecta; Orthoptera; Acrididae
Description: uncharacterized protein YJR142W, transcript variant X5
Source: RNAcentral